This 498-nucleotide ribosomal RNA is filed under the name uncultured bacterium. RNAcentral describes it as "partial 16S ribosomal RNA". It matches the Rfam family "Bacterial small subunit ribosomal RNA", at positions 28 to 523 of the family's 1533-position model. The record is from RNAcentral.
GAUGAACGCUAGCGGCAGGCCUAAUACAUGCAAGUCGAACGAUAUUUUCCAGCUUGCUGGGAGAGAAAGUGGCGCACGGGUGCGUAACGCGUAUGCAACCUACCUUUAUCAGGGGGAUAGCCCGGAGAAAUCCGGAUUAAUACCGCAUAAAAUCACAGAACGGCAUUGUUCAAUGAUCAAACAUUUAUGGGAUAAAGAUGGGCAUGCGUGUCAUUAGCUGGUUGGCGGGGUAACGGCCCACCAAGGCGACGAUGACUAGGGGAUCUGAGAGGAUGGCCCCACACACUGGUACUGAGACACGGACCAGACUCCUACGGGAGGCAGCAGUAAGGAAUAUUGGUCAAUGGAGGCAACUCUGAACCAGCCAUGCCGCGUGCAGGAAGACCGCCCUAUGGGAUGUAAACUGCUUUUAUCCGGGAAUAAACCUCCGAUCGUGAUCGGAGCUGAAUGUACCGGAAGAAUAAGGAUCGGCUAACUCCGUGCCAGCAGCCGCGGUAA